Molecule: ribosomal RNA, 717 nt
Filed under: Pseudomonas sp. enrichment culture clone L1
Lineage: Bacteria; Pseudomonadati; Pseudomonadota; Gammaproteobacteria; Pseudomonadales; Pseudomonadaceae
Description: bacterial SSU rRNA
Rfam family: Bacterial small subunit ribosomal RNA
Source: RNAcentral
AGGGUUCGAUUAUGGCUCAGAUUGAACGCUGGCGGCAGGCCUAACACAUGCAAGUCGAGCGGUAGAGAGAAGCUUGCUUCUCUUGAGAGCGGCGGACGGGUGAGUAAUGCCUAGGAAUCUGCCUGGUAGUGGGGGAUAACGUUCGGAAACGGACGCUAAUACCGCAUACGUCCUACGGGAGAAAGCAGGGGACCUUCGGGCCUUGCGCUAUCAGAUGAGCCUAGGUCGGAUUAGCUAGUUGGUGAGGUAAUGGCUCACCAAGGCGACGAUCCGUAACUGGUCUGAGAGGAUGAUCAGUCACACUGGAACUGAGACACGGUCCAGACUCCUACGGGAGGCAGCAGUGGGGAAUAUUGGACAAUGGGCGAAAGCCUGAUCCAGCCAUGCCGCGUGUGUGAAGAAGGUCUUCGGAUUGUAAAGCACUUUAAGUUGGGAGGAAGGGCAGUUGCCUAAUACGUAACUGUUUUGACGUUACCGACAGAAUAAGCACCGGCUAACUCUGUGCCAGCAGCCGCGGUAAUACAGAGGGUGCAAGCGUUAAUCGGAAUUACUGGGCGUAAAGCGCGCGUAGGUGGUUUGUUAAGUUGGAUGUGAAAUCCCCGGGCUCAACCUGGGAACUGCAUUCAAAACUGACUGACUAGAGUAUGGUAGAGGGUGGUGGAAUUUCCUGUGUAGCGGUGAAAUGCGUANAUAUAGGAAGGAACACCAGUGGCGAAG